GGCACCCUGGUGCUUACCAAGGCUGUGUUUUCACACUGAUUGUACCGAAAGAGGCGGAGUAAACCUACCCCAUAUACACCCCAACCUGGGUCCUUUGCCUGG
Molecule: small nucleolar RNA, 102 nt
Filed under: Myotis davidii
Lineage: Eukaryota; Metazoa; Chordata; Mammalia; Chiroptera; Vespertilionidae
Description: Small nucleolar RNA SNORA51
Rfam family: Small nucleolar RNA SNORA51
About the family: ACA51 is a member of the H/ACA class of snoRNA that guide the sites of modification of uridines to pseudouridines.
Source: Rfam by way of RNAcentral